Molecule: ribosomal RNA, 253 nt
Filed under: uncultured bacterium
Lineage: Bacteria
Description: partial 16S ribosomal RNA
Rfam family: Bacterial small subunit ribosomal RNA
Source: RNAcentral
UACGUAGGGUGCGAGCGUUGCCCGGAUUUAUUGGGCGUAAAGGGCGCGUAGGCGGCUCGGCACGUCCGUUGUGAAAUCGCCCGGCUCAACUGGGCGGGGUCAGCGGAUACGGUCGAGCUUGAGCAAGCUAGGGGGCAAUGGAAUUCCCGGUGUAGUGGUGGAAUGCGUAGAUAUCAGGAGGAACACCUGUGGCGAAAGCGGCUCACUGGACCAUAACUGACGCUGAGGCGCGAAAGCUAGGGGAGCAAACAGG